Molecule: ribosomal RNA, 253 nt
Filed under: uncultured bacterium
Lineage: Bacteria
Description: partial 16S ribosomal RNA
Rfam family: Bacterial small subunit ribosomal RNA
Source: RNAcentral
UACAGAGGUCCCGAGCGUUGUUCGGAUUCACUGGGCGUAAAGGGUGCGUAGGUGGUCGGGUAAGUCUGAGGUGAAAUCUCCGAGCCCAACUCGGAAACUGCCUUGGAUACUAUUCGGCUAGAGGGUUGGAGGGGGGACUGGAAUUCUCGGUGUAGCAGUGAAAUGCGUAGAUAUCGAGAGGAACACCAGUGGCGAAGGCGAGUCCCUGGACAGCUCCUGACACUGAGGCACGAAAGCUAGGGGAGCAAACAGG